Molecule: non-coding RNA, 169 nt
Filed under: Neurospora tetrasperma FGSC 2509
Lineage: Eukaryota; Fungi; Ascomycota; Sordariomycetes; Sordariales; Sordariaceae
Description: Eukaryotic large subunit ribosomal RNA
Rfam family: Eukaryotic large subunit ribosomal RNA
Source: Rfam by way of RNAcentral
CCUCCGUUGGCCUUGAAGUGGCCAGCGGUAAUUCGCGUAUUGUAAUUUUAACACGCGCUGGAUCAAAUCCUUUGCAGACGACUUAGAUGUGCGAAAGGGUCCUGUAAGCAGUAGAGUAGCCUUGUUGUUACGAUCUGCUGAGGGUAAGCCCUCCUUCGCCUAGAUUUCC